AAUUCUCGGAGGCAUGCCAGCUAAAAUAUCACAGGGUUUACCGCGAAGGAUUCUCGCUUCAUCAAGCCAUUGCCCUUUUUGCUGCGCGUGCCGGCAGGGAUUCAUUGGGACUUCAUUUCCUCUAGGAUCUGUGUUUUACGAUUACAGACGUUGAAACCCUAUCGAUUCGAUUCAGCUCAUGAUGUCCUAGUCAUGGUUAUUCCGCAUUAUCACCUCUGGAUAUAUCUACUUCUCUAUGUUUCGGUCUAGUGCUGACUUGUUUCCUGGGGACGCGUCUUAGCCUGGGAAGGGAACCAGUAGGUGGAUCCUGCACUCGUUCGAUCCUUUGACGUACAAAUACGUAGGUUGGAUGAUAUCUAUUCUCAUCGGAGGUUGAAAUACACAUCGCUCUUAUUUAGCGCGGUAGGGCUACAUGUUGUGUGAGCCUUGGCAGAUGAGCAACCCGAUUAGUUCCAGUUGAAGCUAGUGGCACAAUACUGUGAGAAAAAUUAUAAUUAUGAUUCGCCAUCUACGAAAUGUAGUCAACUAUACCACCCAUAGGGUGUCUGCAUUGACGAACAUCGCAGGUUCAUACCGGAAAAGGGCGAAACUUUGUUCCCUGAGUUGAGUCGGGCG
RNAcentral lists this small RNA (615 nucleotides) under Histoplasma ohiense. RNAcentral describes it as "hypothetical lncRNA". The record is from RNAcentral. Lineage: Eukaryota; Fungi; Ascomycota; Eurotiomycetes; Onygenales; Ajellomycetaceae.